GACAGCUAAGUUGAUUGGGACACCUGAAGCCAAUCAGGGGCUGGCUGAAACUAGUUAAAAGCCUCCCACUUAGUCAGGUGGUAUGUGUGUGUGUGCACCUCCACCUGUCUGUCCGUCCGUGGAGCUGUAGAAGAAAGCCAUGCUGCUCCUGGAGAAAUGGAGCAGUACAAACAUUAUCAGGCAUAAGAAAGGAGGCCCUGAGGUUAUGAAUAAGGAGGAGAUUUAAAUGAGAGAUUUGCACUCCAACUAGGCACCAAUAUGAAGUACAAUACAGCUCAGCACAUUCGAGGACUGCAACUUUUCACUUCAAGCUAAAGAAACGUAAUUUGUUAUGGGCACUAAUGCUUCAAAUCCCUGCACAGAAAACUAAGAUUCUUAGAGCAAUCUGCUUCCAGAAGGACUGUCUCUCCAAAGAUUUGAGAGGAGAAAGGAUGCAAUUGUGUUAAAGACACAGGAUUGAGAGCCCAGAGUUCAGCGUUCCAGUCCUGCCUCUGUUAACUGACUUGAACAGUUCGCUUAGCCCUUGAGUGCACAAACAUGCAUUGAAAUGUUGAUUUUACAUGUGAGUGGGCCCCCUGACAUCACAUGCAUAAAAUUAAGCACAUGCACAAGAUCAGGGCAUUUAAUCUGUCAGUGUCCUCAUUUGUAAAAUAAGGAUAAUAAUAUUUACCUGCUUCCCAGAAGGGUUGUGAAGAUAAUUUACUAGUAUUUGUACAAUGCUUUCACCUUUGUCUGCUUCCUCCACAAAUGUUCCAGUGCUUCCUCUCAUGCUGCCCCUUAGGCAUGAAUGCCUUUCUGAGCUCGUCUGUAUAGAUACUGCCCUCUCCUGCUUCAAAUGUCUCCACCUAGCCCACUGCUUUUGUGAUGGCGGCAAAAAAGUAGCUAGCUGACUGCAGCUAGACUGAGCAUCCGUGGGAAGAGCUGGUAUCGUUAAGUUAUUAAUUUUAGUAUUUAUUAUUUGUAUUGUGGUAGCACCUAGGAGCCCCGGUCAUGGACUGGCCCUCAGUGUGCUAGGUGCUGUACCAAGAUGGACCAAAAAAUGGUCACUGCCCUCAAACUAUUUGAUUAUUCAUAAGAGAAAAAAAUGUUCAAUUGAUCUGGAAUCAUCUAGUUGUGAACUUAGGGGCUGUCUUCUACAUUAUAGCAGCUACAGUGGCACGGCUACAGCACUGCAGUGGUGCCACUAUAGCACUGUAGUGUAGACACAUCCCACAUUGAGGGAAGGAGUUUUCCCAUUGACAUAGGUAAUCCACCUCGCCGAGAGGCCAUAGCUGGGUUGAGGCAAGAGUUCUUCUAUCUACCAAGCUGUGUCUACAGUGGUGGUUAGGUUGACCUAACCACAUCACACAAGGUGCAGAAUUAGUCACAGCCCUGGGCAAUGUAGCUAGGUCAGCCUAAGUUUUAGGUGUAGACCAGGCCUUAGCUAGCCUGAGAAACCCCAUAGUCUUGUUACUGUUCCCACACCUCCCAGACCCCAUCUCCUCCCAUUGUUUGUUACACUUACUUUAUUGUCUCUUGUCUUUAAAUAGGUGGAAAACUCUUCAGGACAGGGACUGGAUCUUAUGUGGUGGUACAGUGUUUUGUACAAUGGAGCCCUGAUCCUGACUGGAGCCUUUGGGCACUACAGAAAUAGAAAUAAUAAAUAUAAUUUAAAUGAAUCUUAUAAUUAUUGUUACUGGCAUCAUUUAUAAAGGUGAAUUAUGUUAUAAUUGGGAAUGUAUUUAGAAGUUCAUGUUUUCCCUGGCACUGUUUUUGCAUGGCCUGAAGAAAAGGCUGUGACCCUCGAAUGCUUGCUGUAUUUUAUUUGUCCAAUGACAAGGUAUCAUGAAUAACUCUUGGGUGUUUUUCCAUGUCUUCUCUUUGCUUACUGAAUUAGUGCUUUUGCCACAUCUGCACUUAGCACUAAAUAUACAGGUGAAUUUGAUUUCAUAAGUCAUCUUUCAUACGCAAGUUCUCCUCAAAGCAGGUUGCAAAGAAUGAAUUGAAUUAGAGCAGUGACUAUGGAUGAAAGCAUGGGAGACAUUAUGCAUUCAGCCUUAGACGUUUAAAAAAAAAUCUAUCCUUUUUUUGUAAUUGUGUGAUCAUCUUAACAUAUUGCUUCUUAUUUCAGUUCCACACAAAUCAGGCAGCAAAACUCACUUUCAGACCACACCAUAAAUUCUCAUUAAAAAUUGAUUUUUUUUAACCUCCUCUGUUGAGCUGAGCAUCACAUCGUAGACUAGAUUAACCUGUAGAGAAGCCACUUGUGUUCUAUUCAUCAAACAUAAAACUACAGCGUCUCCCCAGUAUCCCUAAAUCCUUCAUAAAUGUGCCAAGUCAUAAGGAAGGGGGAUGGUUUCUAUAGGGUACUUUUUUGUAUGUUACCAGAAGGCAAGAAGUGCUCUUUCACUCCAGAGAAGCUUAAAUAAUCUAACUAUUAUGCCCAAAGCUCUCAUUUCUCUAGGUGUUUAAGUAAGUGAGAAAGGCACGAUUGUGUAAUGAUCCUGAGGUCGGGGGAGAGGUUGGAGGGAGAGAAAUUUGCAGA
This is a long non-coding RNA of Mauremys mutica (yellowpond turtle), 2524 nucleotides long. RefSeq lists it as uncharacterized. The transcript is spliced from 3 exons. NCBI's taxonomy places the organism in Eukaryota, Metazoa, Chordata, Testudines, Geoemydidae. The record is from RefSeq and is a predicted model, not a curated record.